AGUCUAGUCUGUGACCUGAGCCAUCAUGGUAGGGUGUCCAGGGUGAGGGGAGGGUGGUGUGAAUCCCCAGUAAUGCAGGUCCUUUCCAGGCCAGGCCCCUGGUCCCCAGGAGUGCGGGGAUGCCUGAGGUCUACUGCUGCCUUAUCCAGAGCUGCCAUCCCCGGCGAUGACUCAGAGUUCCUGUGGCCCCAGCAUCAUCCCUCCAUCCCUGGCUGUGAGGCAGGAGCAGAGUUGCAGACCUGAGAGGCCUUGAAUUUGUUUGAUAUAGGACUUUGCCACCAGACAAAGUGCUUUGCCUGUGAGGUCUGGCUUGGCCUGGCCUCUGAGAAAGAACAAACACAGACCUCACUGGAAGGAACCUGGAGAACGGGAGAGGAGAGGCUGCUGCUGUCUGCCCUCCCAGCAGCAGAUAUAAAGACAAUGGGCUUCUAAGUCCCCUAGAGUCCCAGCUGUGUAAUUUAAGGCAAAUAUAAUUUCUGACCUACGUAAUGAUGUAUGCACAAGAAGCCUCUCUUGAAUGUAUUAAUUCAGUAAACAGUUAUGGAGUCCUUACAAUGUGCUAGUGGGACUUUGAAGAUGAAUCCAAAUUUGGAUCCUGGCCUGGAAAGGCUCAAAGCCCAAUAUGGGAGGUAGAAAACCCAUCAUCACUGGGCAUUGUCUUCCAGUGAUUCUGAGCAGAAACAAAGGGGAACGUAUGUCUUCAUUGUGACUCAGCGAGCAAAGAGAUGGAGUCUUUUCCAAGAAGAAAGUGGGAGAUUUGGGACCACUGACAUAUUUGGCCCACUGAUUCCAUUCCCCUAGACCAACACGUGUUCAUCAAAUUGCAUCACUCUUAUGGGGAACUUAAUGCAACUCCGGUGCCCAUUGCAUUAGUUUUUGAUGAUGGAAUUCUCUUUGUGAACUUGAACUUGAGGGGUCUGGCUACCCCUCUGAGACUUCUUUUUUGAGAUAAAAUCAUAUAACAUAAAAUUCGCCCUUUUAAUGUGUACAA
RNAcentral lists this long non-coding RNA (991 nucleotides) under Homo sapiens (human). Its description in RNAcentral is "long intergenic non-protein coding RNA 1227". The record is from RNAcentral. Lineage: Eukaryota; Metazoa; Chordata; Mammalia; Primates; Hominidae.